CAGUAGCCGCGGGAAUACGUAGGGUGCAAGCGUUAAUCGGAAUUACUGGGCGUAAAGCGUGCGCAGGCGGUUAUAUAAGACAGAUGUGAAAUCCCCGGGCUCAACCUGGGAACUGCAUUCGUGACUGUAUAGCUAGAGUACGGCAGAGGGGGAUGGAAUUCCGCGUGUAGCAGUGAAAUGCGUAGAUAUGCGGAGGAACACCGAUGGCGAAGGCAAUCCCCUGGGCCUGUACUGACGCUCAUGCACGAAAGCGUGGGGAGCAAACAGGAUUAGAUACCCCCGUAGUCCCUGUCUCUUAUAA
This 301-nucleotide ribosomal RNA is filed under the name uncultured bacterium. Its description in RNAcentral is "partial 16S ribosomal RNA". It matches the Rfam family "Bacterial small subunit ribosomal RNA", at positions 509 to 809 of the family's 1533-position model. The record is from RNAcentral.